Molecule: long non-coding RNA, 1001 nt
Filed under: Heterocephalus glaber (naked mole-rat)
Lineage: Eukaryota; Metazoa; Chordata; Mammalia; Rodentia; Bathyergidae
Description: lncRNA (ENSHGLG00000031926.1)
Source: RNAcentral
AAUCACUGAGCUAAAUCCCCCGGCCGAUUAAGCAGUAAAAAGUGCUGCCUAAGGGUGUGUGUGUAGUUAUCCUCCCAGAGCAUCACGGUCAGAGACCCAGUCAGUAUCUGGCAUGUGCAGAACUGAAAAAGCGGGCACAGUUUUCUCACCGUGCCUCUUCCUUGUGGGCAUAGUUGUGGAUAGUGUUCUUCUCAGUAUUUGCAGAUGCUUUUCUUAGCCUUCUGUGAAGCCUGUGGGACUGAAAGGGCUGCUGUGUCUGUCAUAGGAAGGGGUUGGGGUGCUGAGUGUCCUGGCCGUGGCAUGGAGCGGGGAGAGGUGUUUUGCAAGGGCUGCCUGUGUGCCAAGCCCAAUGCCAAGCCUUCUGCAGCUGGCCCUGCAUGGAGAAGCUGGGCUGGGUGGGUCUCUUCGCUGCACUCUGGCCAGCUCUGUCCUCGCACCAGCCUCCAGGGCUCCAGUGUGAGCGUGCAGGUAGAGCCUUGCUCCUCAAAGUCAGGUUCCCAGGGCAACAGCACUCACACCGCUGGCUAGAAAUGGAGAGUCACAGGCUCCACCAAGGACUUUGUGAGUCAUCUGCAUUUUAACAAGUGGUUUAUGGUAUGCACACUGGGGUCUGGGAAGGCUUUGGAAGCUGAGGGAGCUGAGGGGUGGCUGGAGCACCUCAUUUGAGCAUCUUCUAUGUCCCUGGCUUUGCCGAGUGCUUUAAAACAGUGUUUCUCCGGCCAUCUGAAUUAAAGGACAACUUGUGGGAUUUUUUGGUUUUGUUUUGUUCUUUCAUUUACUUAGGGACCAGUGAGCAUGACCAGUCUGUGCAAGUCUGACAACAGCGGAACUGGGUCUAUCCCCUACUCAGAAAGGGUCUGGCUAAAUUGCCAAGUUGCCCGGGUUGGGCUUGAAUUUGCCAUCCCAGAGUGCUGGGGUUACGGGGCCUGCACUACCUUGUCUGGCUUCACCGGGCUUCUUUUCCUGUGAGUACUGUAACUGAUGCUCAAUAGCGUUUAAAC